AGAGGGCAGUUGAGUGGAGAAUGCCCCCGCUCACCGCAGAUAGGGCACCAGCAGUCAUGCAUGACCGCCCGGAGGAUGGCAUCCCAGCUGCUCUCCCGCUUGGUGGCCGCGGCUGGUAGCUCCCGCUUCUGGGGUCUCCCCCGGGGUAUCUGGUCCUGGCUCGCUUGGGCAGCCCACUCCUCUCCCUGGUAUUGGGUGGGGCAGAUGGCCACGGUGUGCCCAAACUCCCCACAACCAGGGCACCACUCCUCCACCACAACAACCCCUGGUGGCUGCUGUUGCAGCUGCUUUUGCUGCCUUCUGCCGCUCUUCCUCCUCUCUUCUCUCAUCUUUCUUCCUCCCAUCCUCCUCUUCACACUCCUUUUCUCCCUCCACACAAUUAGAAAAAAAAAAAUGAAAAAGCUGCAGUACCCUCUUCUGCCUGCGUCUAGGAGGCGUUGCGAUCCCACGCAGGACACCACGUGUGACAGGAAUGGACGAGUGGUGACGUCACGGCAGAAGAAGGGACAACAAAAACAAAAGAUGUGAAGCAGGAGGCGAGGCUCCGUGUGGAGGCUGAAGAAGAAAACCCAGCAGUCCUUUGUGAAAGAACCAGACCUGUCCAUCCCUGCUGAACUUGACAUUCAGCAGCAAAAGAAAGAUCUGAGGGGGGAGAUGGUGGUGGAGAUCAGGAGCCAAAUGACCACCCUGUCCAACGAAGUGGUAAGUGGUCUGAAAGCAGAGUGGAGCCAGGGAGAAUCAGGAUGGAACAUCCAGCCAUGUCCACCUCCCUGGCAUGAUGACGCUACUGCACAAUGGCCAGUAAUGCCACACCCUUCACAGAGACAAGACUCUCAGACUGGUUUUAGAGGGACAUUUUAAUCAAUAUGAUGCACAAAGGAGGCCUUUCUGCAGACAUUGUCAACAACCAGGUCAUAUUCAACGCCAUUGCCGACAGAGGGGAAUACAAAAUGAUGUCACCCAGCAGUUGAUGCAACCCAAGAUGACGGCAUGUCUAAUGAAGCCCUGAUUGGAGAAAGCCCAGUUGUUUCUGUGAAGAUGGGAGAAUAGAUUCAAACCUGUCCUUCCACUGCCACUUGAUUUCCAUGACACCUCCUAUCAAGAGCAGACUGAAGUCCAAUUUAAUAUUUCGGACAGUAUAUUGACAGUAAAGUGUUUGGGAAAGUCAGGCCACUUCUAGACAGUGUGUGGCAAGGCUGCCUCCGCCAACAAGCAGAUGCAAAGCUCUCCAUUGAUGAACAAAUGGUUCAGUUAGGCUGCUGUACCUUCAAGCUGUUGUGCCAAACAAGCCAAACCAAACAGGAUUGGAAAUAUUUGUCCUUUCCUCACCAGUUGGUCUUGUAUUAGAUUUUAAGGUGUAUCAAGAAUACUUUCACUGAUACAGGAUUAGGAAUUAGAGCAUCAACAGUCCUGCGUGUGGCUGAACAUGUUCCCAGACGUGCUCAGCUCUUUUUUGACAGGUACUUUACAUCUGUCAACCUUUUGGAUGCAUUGCUGAGAAGGGCAUAGCAGCAAGUGGGACAGUAAUGAGGUCCAGAAUCCCAAAAGAAUGUCGGAUGAUUGACAACAAAAUUCUGAACCAACGCGGAAGAGGAGCAACAGAGAUGACCAUUAGAACCCCUGGAAUUGCUGUCACAAAGUGGUAUGACAACAAGCCUGUGCUCAUGGCCUCCACAGCAUACGGGAUAGAGCCCCAGGAUUACUGUACAAGAUGGUCCAGUGAAGAGAAGAGGCACAUCCAGGUAGCACGACCCGCUGUCAUCAAUGAAUACAACAGCAGCAUGGGUGGAGUGGAUAUGUGCGACCGCAUGCUACAGGGUGGCAAGUAGGAGCAGGACAUGGACUGUGCAGGUUAUCAUCUUCAACUUCUUCGACUUGGCAAUAACCAACUCCUGGAUUCAGUACAAGUCAGACAGCAUUGCAUUGGAUCAUCCUGCCAAAAACACCAAACAAUACUUGGAAUUCAAGCUGCUGCUAGCUCAAGAGCUGAUUGCACAGGCACAGUCAUCCUCAGGGUGAUGUUGUAAUCACAGAUUCCAGUGAUGAUGAUUAUGAGCUACAGUGCAAAAAAUGGGUGCUGCAACCAGACCCAUUCAAUACCCAUACGGAGCUCUGCAUUUGCCAGAGAUGAUGCCCGACAAACAUGCAUCAAGAUGCCGAAGAAAAGUGACAGGAAAACCUACGUGAUGUGCACUAAAUGCAAAAUGUUCCUCUGUGUUGCCAAAAAGGGGAAUUGUUUCAAGGAAUACCACAUCCAAAACAAACCAGAAGUUAAAAUAAAUAUAAAGAUAAAUAUAAAGAUAAACACAUACUAGUUUACAUUAGAAUAGUCAAAAUAUGAUGUUAUUUCUCAUUGUGACUAAUUUAAUCGUUCAGAUGAAGAACCAUAUACGUGCACUCCAAGUAGUUUUGAGCUAUUCAAUCUUUUUUUUUUUAUGUAAAAUGCUAAAGACAAUGUCCUGAGAUGCAUUACAUGAAUCAUGAACCUUAUCCUUCUGUAGGCCUUCAUUUUUCCUAAUUAUUUUUUCAGUGGGAUUUAUUUAGGUUUUACAGACUUUUUAAAACAUGUAGUGCAGAAGAACAGUAUAUCUCCAGCUAUUUGAGAUUUUGUGGAAGAACAGUAUAUAUUACAUGACAAGGAAUAUUUAAUUAAAACGUUUAAUAUUUUUCCAAAAUACAAUUUGAAUUAAAUUCACUAGGACAACAUUACGUAUAGUUUUGCAAAAUAAUUUACAAUAAAAUAAAACAAAUCCACUGUCAAAUGUAAGAUGGGUCACCAUGAACAGUGUUAGUAAUUAGCUUGUAUUGCUUCUGUAAUUUUUUCGCGAUCGCUAUUGCAGGUAUCAUGGAAUAACUUUCCCUUAAAAAUAAAAAUAUUGGCAACCGUAAUCAAUGUCAUCAUCAAUUAAUUUAUAUAUACACGUAAUAAAAUAUGAAUGUCAAAAAAUAAAAUAAGCCUGUGCAGAGUAUAAUAGUUACAUUAUAACAAGGCAAAAAAAAAGAAACCUGUCUAUAAUCCGUCCUUGAAAUAAACACGCCUCAUGCUUGUGUCCGUUAUAUUAUAACAAGACAAAAAAAAAACCUGCCUAUAAUCCGUCCUUGCCUCAUGAAAUCUACCAAAUAAUAUAUUUUUUACAAUGUUCAAUGAAAGUAUUUUCUAAGAAAACAAACACAGGUUUUUCAGCAAAUAAGGACAUACACAUAUACGGUUUUUCCAUAAAACAAAACACAUACGUUUUGGAAAUUUUUUGCCUGUUUUCUUUUCUCCCUUUCUGUAACAUAUGACUUCCCUGCAUCCCUGAGAUGUUUUCGUUGUUUGUCUUUCCACUGAUUCAUAAUUCGUUUUUUUUUUUUUUUUUUACCAAUAUUGACUCUCUUUUCAUCAGCGACAAUUAACAAUUAGUAAAAUUAACGUGUCCAUCCGCCAUCUUCAUUCUUGCACAUAUACAUACGGUUAUUCCAGUACACAUGUAUUUUGUUGCUAUGUAGGAACCUGCAAUAGCGUCAGAAAACCACAAUAUGGCAUAUAUGGGUAAAGAGACUCCCUGGCCAUCAGAAUAUAUCCAUAAAUACAUUUCUUUAUAAAACUUGAGUUUUACGGUAUUUUGUCGCAAGGAUUCAGUUGUUAAGCUAGUCGCAUUUUUCAAAUUGAGAAACUUUUUUUUUUUUUUUGCUGGGUCUCAGGAGGCAGAAUCCUGUUUGGGAGAUCAGAAUUUUGAGUCUCUAUUAAUAUCUGGAAGAUGUAAUUGUGUGUUUUCUCCAGGGGCUGGUUGUACUAACUAGAUCAAAAACCAGCCGGAUCAUGAAAAGGCGUUGUAAUAAGCGGAUCAGGAUCAAGCUCCACUGAUCCGAAAUCUUGAUCCGAUCCUGGAGCUGCGCAGCCGUAACUAGGGAAACUGACCAAUGAGAAGCGAAUAUGCGUGGCGCAGAGACUGAAGAUUCUGAAUUUAUGUUGUUUAAAUUAAAUACACUUGAUUUUGUGACAUUCAUUAUUUCUUAUUUCUUGCUAAGAAAUAAGAAAUAAUGAAUGUCACAAAAUCAAGUGUAUUUAAUUUAAACAACAUAAAUCAGAAGCAACUACUGUACAUGUAUAAUUUAAAACUCCAUCGAUUCUAUAAAAACAGAUCGAGUAUAUGGUUUUGUUUUGUUUUUUUAACUUCUAAAAAUGUUUCAGUAAAUGUUACCGUAAUCACGGUCGUGUGUAUUUUCUGACGGACACACAGAUAUUUUACAGGUUUAUUAAGUUAUCGUUACAAUUAUUCAAAUUCGGUAUCGUGCUUAUUUAAAUAUUAUUUUAGCAAUUUUAAAAAAGGUUUCAGUUAUGUAUUUUGAUGAUGCAUGGUCCAUUUCAAAAACGUUCGAUCAAGCUCUGAUCAGAUUCUGAUCUUGGUCUAAAUUAACAAACACGCUUGAUCCGAUAGUUGGGUCGUAUUCUUACUUCUUCCUCGCCGAAAACCUCAAGAGGGUUUUGCCUAUCUUUAAAAACCCGACUUAUACGUGUCUGACAGUUUCGAAUAAAAAAUGAAUUACGUUUAGUAACUCAAUUUUUCAAAAGUGGGAUCAGGUUCUGAUCCUGCUCAAAAGCAAGAUCAGGUUUGCGCUCAGAUCUGAGCUCAGAUUGAGCACUGAUCCAUUUAGUACAACACAACUAGGACAACCGGCCCCUGAUUUUGCCACUCACCUUAAACAUCUUGAAUUUGUUUUUCAUAGACAAGCACAAAAUGGCCUUAAGCUCAAGCCUAACAAAUGUCAUCUCUUUCAGAAAACUGUACAGUACAUGUGGUUUCUGCAGAGGGAGUUACCCCCGUGCUUGACUGGCCAAUGACUGGCUUGACUGAGCUGUAGUCGACUGGCCAAUUCCAAAGACAGUGAGGGAGCUGCGAUCCUUUCUGGCUGGUACCCGGGUCGAGGGUUUUGUGGGGUAUCCGAAAGGACUUUGAGACGAUUGUACAAGGAGACAACUUUAAUAUGCGGUACACCAGCCCCUCGGUUCUAACGGGUGCCUGUGAGUUUUGGGGGACCAGCGGCUGAUGGAAAGGGGGUCCAUUUCGACCCUGGAUAAUCUGAGAGACUGUCUCUGGGUUCAUGGAGGAGCGUGAGUGAACAUUUGUCACGGUCUUGGCCGUGGGAGCCCAAAUGAUUAUUGUGCUGCAAACUCGUCAUUCUAUUUACAUUUAUUGAGUAUAUUAUAUGAUUGCUUAUUGUGUUGCUAAAUAGUCGUUCUGGUUACAUAUAUUAAGUAUACUAUAUGAUUGAUUACUGUGCUGCUAACUAGCCAUUUGUUUGCCUAUAUUAGGUGUAUUAUAUGACAGAUUAAUGUGCUACUAACUAGUCAUGUGUUUACAAGCACUAUACUUGCCUUUAACUGAUGGCUUGAAUUAUGUGAUACAUGUGAUUCAUAGAAAGAAUUAAUUGUGCUAACAUAGUAUACUAUCCUCAUAAGUAUUUAACCAUUAAAGAUUUCUGUGUGUCAUUUUCUCCUUAGCUAUUUAUCCAAUUGUAAGAUAUA
This is a long non-coding RNA of Acipenser ruthenus (sterlet), 5509 nucleotides long. RefSeq lists it as uncharacterized. The record is from RefSeq and is a predicted model, not a curated record. The transcript has 4 exons. Lineage: Eukaryota; Metazoa; Chordata; Actinopteri; Acipenseriformes; Acipenseridae.